GUUUAAAUAGUUUAAUAAAAACGUUGGUUUGUGGUGCCGAAAUUAUAAGUUAUUUAUUUUAAACC
This 65-nucleotide transfer RNA is filed under the name Homarus americanus (American lobster). Its description in RNAcentral is "tRNA-His". It matches the Rfam family "tRNA". Rfam says of the family: Transfer RNA (tRNA) molecules are approximately 80 nucleotides in length. Their secondary structure includes four short double-helical elements and three loops (D, anti-codon, and T loops). Lineage: Eukaryota; Metazoa; Arthropoda; Malacostraca; Decapoda; Nephropidae. RNAcentral also lists the same sequence under 1 other name. The record is from Rfam by way of RNAcentral.